Oryctolagus cuniculus (rabbit) is the source of this 14466-nucleotide non-coding RNA. The record is from RefSeq and is a predicted model, not a curated record. NCBI's taxonomy places the organism in Eukaryota, Metazoa, Chordata, Mammalia, Lagomorpha, Leporidae.
AGCCAAGGCGACGCCCACCGGGAGCUAUCCCGGCGGGCCGCGCGCACGGCGGCGUUUGAAUGGCUGUGCGUCGGGCCCGGCGGGGCCGCCGACGGACUCUCUAGGCUGCCGGGCGCGGUCCGUCAUCGCCGGGGCAGGGCAGAGGCGCCGAGGUACCAUGAGGCGCAGGUAUUUAAGAGAUUAUGGCAUCUGAAACCCACAAUGUUAAAAAACGGAACUUUUGUACUAAUAUUGAGGAUCAUUCCACUGAUCUUCCUAGAAAAAGGAUCUCUAAUUUCACCAAUAAGAACAUGAAGGAGGUUAAGAAAUCUCCCAAACAUUUGGCUGCUUACAUAAACAGAACAGUUGGACAAGCUGUGAAAACCCCAGAUAAACUACGUAAGGUGAUCUAUCGCAGAAAGAAAGUUCAUCAUCCCUUUCCAAAUCCUUGUUACAGAAAAAAACAGUCCCCUAGCACUGGGGGCUGUGACAUGGCAAAUAAAGAAAAUGAACUGGCUUGUGCAGGUCACCUGCCUGAAAAAUUACGCCAUGAUAGUCGCACAUAUUUGGUUAAUUCCAGUGACCCUGGCUCUUCACAGACAGAAAGCCCAUCAUCAAAAUAUAGUAGUUUUUUUUCUGAGGUUUCUCAGGACCAUGAAACAAUGGCCCAGGUUUUAUUCAGCAGGAAUUUGCGAUUGAAUGUAGCUUUAACUUUCUGGAGAAAGAGAAGCAUAAGUGAACUUGUAGCCUAUUUGGUGAGGAUAGAAGAUCUUGGAGUUGUAGUAGAUUGCCUACCUGUACUCACCAAUAGUUUACAGGAGGAAAAACACUAUAUCUCACUUGGCUGCUGCGUGGACUUGUUGCCUCUAGUAAAGUCAUUACUUAAAAGCAGAUUUGAAGAAUAUGUAAUAGUUGGUUUAAACUGGCUUCAAGCAGUCAUAAAAAGGUGGUGGUCAGAACUGUCAUCCAAAUCAGAAAUCAGAAAUGAUGGAAAUAUUCAGAUUUUAAGACAACAAUUAAGUGGGUUGUGGGAACAAGAAAACCAUCUUACUUUGGUUCCAGGAUAUACUGGUAAUAUAGCUAAGGUAAUCUCUGUUUUUCUCUUUAAUAUUUAUUUGAAAGGAAGAGUUACAGAGAGCGAGAGAAAUAAGAUCAUCCAUCCACUGAUUCAUGCUCCAAAUGGCCACAAUAGCCAGCGUUGGGCCAGCCCAAAGCCAGGAGCCUGGAGCUUCAUUUGGGUCUCUCAUGUGGGUGCUGGGAUCCAAGGAUUUGGGCCAUCCUCUGCUGCUUUCCCAGGCGCAUUAACAGGGAGCUGGAUCGGAAAUGGAGAAGCUGGGACUUGAACCUGGUACACGGUAGUGCUGGCCCAAUCUACAUUUAAACUUAAAAAUUAGGCAUUAAACCAAGAAAUAACAUAGGAUACAUUUGUAAAUGAGCUCUUCAGUUUCUAGACAAAAUAAUUGAGUACUGUUCUAACAAGGUGUUAAGUCAAUUUAUUUCUCUUAUUUAUUUAUUUAUUUAUCUGAAAGGCAGAGCUACAGAGAGGCAGAGUCAGAGCAAGGUCUUCCAUCCACUGAUUCACACCCCAAAUGGCUACAAUGGCUAGAGCUGGGCCGAUCUGAAGCCAGGAGCCAGGAGCUUCUUCUGGGUCUCCUAUGCGGGUGCAGGGCCUAAGCACCUGGGCCUUCUUCUGCUGUUUUCCAAGGCCAUAAGAGAGCUGGAUCUGAAGUGGAGCAGCCAAGUCUCGGACUGGUGCCCAUAAGGGAUGCCGGUACUGCUGGUGGCAGCUUUACCUGCUAUGCCGCAACGCUGGCCCCAAGUCAGUUUCAUAUUUGCAAGUGCUUAAAGUCCUCUGGAUGUGAGUGUGACCUUGGCAGGAAGAACAGGAGUUAUCCAUUGAAUGUUUCAUAUACAGCCACAGAAAUACUAUGCCACAGGAUAUUUAAUGACCUAGUUCUAAUAGAAAAAUAUCUGAAGAAAAAUUAAGAAUCCAAAUAAGAGCAACAUCAGAAGGAAACAAGGGAUGAGGAAUACAUUCAGAUGGGUUUAGAAUGUUAAUUUUUACUUUGCUUUUGCUAAUAUGUUUUUUUUUUGUUUUUUUUUUUUGAAGAUUUAUUCUAUUUACUUGAAAGAGUCACAGGGAAAGACAAAGAGGGAGAGAAAGAGAGAAAGGUCUUCCAUCCGCUAGCUCACUCCCCAAAUGGCUGUGACUGGGCCAGGCUGAAGCCAGGAACCAGGAGCUUCCUCAGGGUCUCCCAUAUGGCUACAGGGGCCCAAGGAAUUGGGCCAUCCUCCACUGUUUUCCCAGGCACAUUAACAGGGAGCUGGAUUGGAAGAAAAGCAGCCAGUACUCAAACCAGCAACCAUGUGGGAUGCUGGCAGUGAUUUAACCCACCAUGCCACAAUGCCAGCCCUACUAAUAUGCUUUUUGAAAAAGUAACCUUUAAAUCACAGAAUGAAUUGGACAUUGGUCUUUAUUGAUUUGCUUGUCUUUUAAAGGAAAAAGUACAUUACUAGUUGGGAUUUUGGUAUUUAAACUCCAGAAAAACAUUGGUAGUUAAAAUAUAAUUGCAAAAAAAAAAAAGUUAAGAAAUAUUUCUGCCCUAUUAGUGGGCACAUUGCUAUCAUAAAUGGGCAUUAGCCAGGAAUAGAAAGUGAUAUUUGAUUUAAAAAAUUUAUUAAAUGUAGUUUAAUUUAUGUCAUACACUAUUAAAAUUCUUUAUGGAUACUUCCAAAAAAGCAAGAUGACCUCAAGUUUACCACUUUGUAUGAUUUUACUGUAUGAGUUCUUUUUUCUUUUUAAGAUUUAUUUCUUCAUUUGAAAAUCAGUUAUAGAGGGAGAGGGAGAGAGAUCUUCUGUCCACUGGUUCACUCCUUAGAUGGCUACAACAGCCAGAGCUGGAUCAGGCCAAAGCCAUGAGCCAGCAAUUUCAUCCAGGUAUCCCACGUGGGUGGCAGGGGUCCAAGUACUUGAACCAUCUGCCAUUGCUUUACCCAGGCCAUUAACAAGGAUCUGGAUCAGAAAUAGUGCACCCGGGAUAUGAGCCACUGCCCAUAUGGGUUGCUGGCAUUAUAGACUGGAACUUUACCUGCUACCCAAUGUUGGCCUCUACUAAAGAAUUCCUAAUGGUGAAAAUCUUAGGAAUCAAUUUCUAGAAAUAUUUUGGUUGUUUUAGGUUUUUAAAGUAUACAUACCACAUCCUCUUGCUUGGUAGGAGCUUUUUUCUUUUUUCUUUUUUGGACAGGCAGAGUUAGAAAGAAAGACAGAAAGACAAAUCUUCCUUCCGUUGGUUCACCCCCCAAAUGGCUGCUACAGCCGGCGUGCUGCGCUGAUCCAAAGCCAGGAGCCAGGUGCUUCCUCCGGGUUGAUAGGAGCUUGUUUUCUGGAAUAGAAAUGAAUAAUUAUUUCUUAGAAAUUUGCUUUUAAUUAUAAUUCUUUAUAAAGGGAGAAGCUUUAUUGUGAACAUGACUUAAAAUACUAUGUUUAUUAUUGAAGACUAUACUAAAGUGAUUUAAUAGUUCAAAGUGAAGUUCUUUAAGUUACAAUGAAAACUUUAUUACAAAAUUAAGCUCUCAAUUAACUUGUAAGUUUCUGAGAGCAGAAACUGGAGAGUCUAUUAUGAAACUGGCCUUGAGUUUAUAUAGCUCUAAAGGUAAGGUAUUCCUGUGAAUGCAAACUUAUUUGAGCACAGGAACCAAAACAUUGUCUCAGCACUUAGCAAACAUUUAUCGAGUGUGUGAUAUGUCCCAGGCCCUGUACCAAACAAAAGCAGAUAAAAAGUUGAGAAGAACACUCUUCAACUGUUAAAAGAUCACAAAUGGAAACUAAGGCAGCCAAAAAGGAAAAUAAAAAUGUGUUGUUUAUGUGUAUUUACUAUACUGGCUAAUGAAAUGUUUCUGUUUUAUCCUCUAAGGAUGUAGAUGCUUAUUUAUUACAGUUGCAUUGAGAGAUUUCAUCUACUAAACAGCAUUUGGUUAUUCGAGACAUCCUGGGACUAUAGGAUUUCCAAAAAUAGGUCUCUUCUGAGAACUGUGAACUGUGGAAGAAAUCAAAAUCAUUUUUUCUUUUAAAAAGCCACAAAUUGAAACCACUAAUGAAACGCUAACAAUCUACUUCACAUUGAAGUGGAAUAGUAUCCAAAAGGAGCAGCUUCAACUUCAAUGAGGUGAAAGUGCACUAUGAAGAUUGUUCGCCUUUGCUGCAUUCGGGUCUUUAGAUUUCAGAUAACUGCUUCUAUGAGAGGUGAAUUAUUUAAGAAGUCAUUUCUCAGGAUGUGGAAUUUGGACCAUAAACCUGUGUCAUCUCUGUGAAACCUUGAGAUGAUGAAAUAUAACUUUUGUUCGUUGUUGCUGUGCUUUAGUUAUCACUGUCUUAUCUAACAGUUUGAACCAGUUAACUUGGUUGGAGUAUGGUGCUAUGAGGUUAAGGACAGGAAUUUAAUCCUUUUUUAAGUUCAUUAACUUUACAUACACAAACACAGAGAAACAAUUUUACAAUCACAGAGUUCACCUUUCCUCCAGUACUCAUCUUGCAUUCAUUUCAAACUGAAAAUCAGUUCUGGGUCACAAGGAAGGUGACAUAUGGAGCUUAGCAUAAAAACCUAACUUCAAAUGGAAAGAUAAGUCAAAUUAUUGGUAUAUAUGAUACUGCAGACUUCAAAAUAAUAUAUUCAAAAUAAGAUAUGUAAAUUCUGUGUAAUGUUUAGUUUCACAGUAUUGAAUAAUAGGUCAGAUAUUUUCUGUAUUUGUCAAAUCAUUAAAUAGUAUCUUCAAAAAUCAACUGUUAGAAAAACAAACUGCUAAAAACCAAGUACAAAUGAAAUAGAGUAAGAAAAAGUAUCUUGUUAACACUGAAUUCUUGAGCUUAAAUUUAGGUUUCUUGAAGGCGGGAAGACAAUGUUCCAUUUUAUAUACUCUGAGUUAUAUAAGCCAGCAGUCUUUAGCUCACAAACAUUAGUAGCAUACACUCCUACUUUGUGUUCCUGGCCUUUGCAGUUUACCUUAGUACCUACCUCUCUCAGUUACUGAGUUGUGAUGAUUCAGUGUUUUUAAGAUUCUUGGAUAAAAGAUGUUAGGUAAGUAUUUUUGAAUACUCUGUUGCUACUAAGCUCUUCUCAUGCUGUAGCAUUUCAGUUAGAACAGUGUUGAUCUCCAUAAAGAGCCAAAGAGUGUUUAUAAAGUGUUUUGACUGUUACUGACCUAGAUUGGGUCAGUUGCUGUCUGUCAUUGCUCAUUUGUUGCUGUGCUACUAAGUAGUAUACAGAACUAAAGACCUAGCAAGGUGUCUAUGCCUUUGUUAGCUCGUCUGCCUUCUUAGAUAGUCCAUAUUUGACUUUGCAAACUUUACAAGUAUAAGGAUAGGUAGUUUAUUGUGGCCAUAGAGGAUUAUAAUCAAGGAAUUUACUUCUAUUAGGGAUAUGUGAAUGGCUGUUAUGAGUGAUCAUAAUCACAAUAAAGGUUAAAAGUUAGGAAGUAUUUUCAAAAUUUUUUGGCAGUGAUUUUAAAGGUAAUUUGCACUAUUUACAUAAAUUCUAAAAUGUGACAUCUAGGAAAUAUAUAUUUAUGUCCAUUUGAGAAGUCAUAAAUAUCAAUACUGUGCUAUGAGGGCUACAAAGGAAUUAAUUCCAAAAAUCCAUACUUGUUACAUGUCAUGUCCUGACCUUAAAUAUGGUUCUAUGGGUUUAAAACUGUAUUUCUGGCCUUUGAGAUGGUAAUUUUCUCAAACUUGGAACAUUUCUGUAUUUUGUAAGUUACUGACAUAUUCAACAUUAAUGGAUAAUUGAAGAUUAAAUGAUUCCUGUUAUCAUUACUCAUUAGUUCAGAAAUUCUUAUUUACUUAAGCAGUCUGGAAAAGCAAGAUUUAAGUUAAUAUUUCACCAGUCAUUCCCAGUUAUCUUUCUUCUUAUUUAAGAACCAAAUAGUAUUAUUCUUUUGUGAUUAAAGAAAAUAGAAUCACAAGCAGCUGAGUCAGCUGGGUGAUCCAUUUGCACAUGCUGCUUAUCACUCAGUGCAGAUUUUUAUUUUCUGAAUUCAGGUGAAAAUAGAAUUGCUGGACAUGUGUUGGUAGCUCUUUACUCCUAUGAUAGUCAUUCUCCCUUUCUAAUUCUUCUAGUCAUGAAAAUUGUCAUAAAACUUUGUGACACGUUACCCCUUCUCUUUUUUAAUUCUAUAAAGGGAGCAUAAAAUAAAAAUAUCCAUUCCUAAAUACUGUACACUUCUUAAUACAAUUUCAUGGUUCAGUAACAGUACCAAAUACAGUAACAAAAAUAAACACUCUAUAAUGAAUAACCUGUAUUUGAAUACAUAUCUACAAUGAUAUAUUUAAAGUCAUUUUUAACAGUAUCUUCUAAAACUUAAUAAAUAUUAAAUGCACCUAAAAGUAAAACAAUGUAUCCCACAGUAUUUUACUACUGUGAAGAGUCAUAAAAUACAAAACAACAGUUACUAUGUGCCCAAUAAUUCCAUGAAAGGUCAACCCCACAGCCACCAAUGAAUUUUUUUUUGACAGGCAGAGUGAGAGAGAGAGAAAGGUCUUCCUUCCGUUGGUUCACCCCCCAAAUGGCCGCUAUGGCCAGUGCGCUGCACAGAUCCGAAGCCAGGAGCCAGGUGCUUCCUCCUGGUCUCCCAUGCGGGUGCAGGGCCCAAGGGCUUGGGCCAGCCUCCACUGCCUUCCCGGGCCACAGCAGAGAUCUGGACUGCAAGAGGAGCAACUGGGACAGAACCGGCACCCCCAACUGGACUAGAACUUGGAGUGCCAGCACUGCAGGCGGAGGAUUAACCUAGAGAGCCGUGGUGCCAGCCCACCAAUGUAUUUUUAAUAGCAAAGCUUGCUGUAUAUUAUUGCUUUGACAUACAGAUUAAUCAUUCUCUGGACUAAGAAGUUUUCAAAUGAGAGGUCCUAUUAGUCCAGAUGAGGUUUCAACUCCCCAAAUGCACUUGGGCUAGCACUGAUCUAAAGUUCUCAGUGUUUUGUUUUCAGUUCUACAUGUCCUGAACCUGUCCAGUACUGUUUUGACACUGGAUUUGCCUGAAAGCUAGGAAGAGUUUAUCCAGAGUAUUUGAUAAGAACUAUUGUGGAAAUACUGGCACACAUUAAACUGUCAAAAUUACUUGCUUCCAGAAUUGCUCUACUGAACUUAUUAACCAAACCUGCAAUAUGAAGCUUGGAUUGGAAUUAGACCUGACCUUCCAGGAGUCAGGAGCAGAGUUAGCAUCUAUUUACUUUUCUACUUCCAUUUUUUUUUUUUAAAGAGGAAGAAAGAAAAACUCAUUGGCCCGUUGUAUAAACCUGAACAGUUGAAUGAGGACCUCCUGCCUCACCUUUCUCUUACCUUGUAGUACACUUGCCAGGCCCUCUCUGUACAUCUGCAGCCUUGCCUCAACACAGAAGGAUAUGUGAGAAUUAAACUCUUCUUGAAGCCAAGUUUUAAACUCAUAAGGAGUUUGGAAAAGGCUAAUCCUCUCCCUUAGUGGCCCAAAUUCCUUUUUUCCUUCUCAAGUAGGUUUUAAGUGAUCAAGGGGAGAAACCAAAUCUCUUCACUUCUUCCCUCAAUUAUUCUUAGGCUAUAAAGAGUACCUUCCAAGUUUAAAAACUCAAGUCUGUUAUAAGUUAUUUCAGGUGAAAAAAUUUUACUCCAAGAUUUUGUAUAGUUUGUCAACAUGUAUUCUGUGUUCUCUUGAUAUGAAAAUGCUUUGUUUUAGACUCAGCUUCCAAGGUGUGUAUUAUUUUGGUUUUGUGGCCACCUCUUUUUUUUUAUGUAUUUCAAAUAGUUAGAGUGGCAGAGACAGGUCUUCCAUCUUUUGGUUCACACUCCAAAUGACUGCAAUGGCCAGGGCUGGGCUGGGCCGGCCUGGGCCAGGCCAAAGCCAGGAACCAGGCACUUCUUCAGGAUCUCCCACGUGGGUGCAGGAACCCAAGCGCUUGGGCCAUCUUCUGCAUCCCCAGGUGCAGUAGCAGGGAGCUGGAUCUCAAACCAGCACCCAAAUGGGAUGCUGAAGGCAGCAGCCUAAUCUGCUACACCACAGUGCUGGCCUCUUUCCUCUUUUAAAGGCUCCUCCGUCUGUCCUUAGACAUUGAUGUUCUUGAGAUUUCUAUUGUGAAGGCUCUGCUCUGCUCUGCUCUGCUCUGCCCUGCCCUGCCCUGCCCUGCCACAGUGUCUGAAAACACGUCAUUUAUUCCUAUGACUUUGUUAAUUGUCCUCAUUUGGGAGCUGGAAGGAAAACUUUUUUUUUUUUUGGUUGAUCAAAUAGAUGAGUUUUUGAAAGGUUGAGAAAACACUGAACUGUGUUCAUUCUCAAGUAUCUUACCCUAAGCCUACCUCUUAGCUCUAAAAUAAUGCACAUGCCUGGAUUUUAAAAGAUUUUUACACGAAGAUAAAUGUAUUCUUUAAUCCUAUUUUUCAUGAAGUUUUGAAGUACCCUUGUAUAUUAUAUUGCCGCUUGGAAGCACUUAUUGGGAUAUCUUAGACAUCCUGAAUUCAGUAUACCCAGAGUUGACCUUAUUUUUUACUUCUCUCUUCCAUCCAUUCUGCCCCCAAAAUGCCCUUACUGGAUGCUAGGUCUCUAGUCUCAAUUAAUAGUCCUAAUACCAGCAUUUGUCAAGCUACACACCUGUGGAUCAUCUUUGAAUCAUCUCUGAAUCAUUCAUUAAAUCUUAAUGGAGCCCCCUAAAUUUUUCUCAUCUCUACUCUUUCCACCUUUUUUGCCAUUAACCUAAAGGAUUUCGUACAUUGUUCUAGCAGCCUCAUAACUAGUCUCUCUGGCAUUGGUCCCGCACCUUUUACAACCCAUUCUCACACAUUUCACCCCAGAACUGUUCGUAAAGCAUAAAUCCUGUUGAUGUCACUCCUUAAGGCUUCUUAAGAAGAGUCUGCUAAAAAAAAAAAUCCAUUUUCUGUUGCUAUAACAAAAUACCUGAGGUUGAGCAGCUUAUAAAGAAAUUGGUUUCUCACAGUUCUGAAGGCUGGAAAGUCCAAGAGCAAAGCAUCAGCGUCUGCUUGCGGUCAGAUGAGAGCUUUCUUUGCAUGUCCUAACGUGGCAGAGGUCAUCAUCUGCUAGAGAGGAGUGUGCUAGCUCAGGUCCCUCUUCCAUAAAGUUGUUAAGGCAUCGUGAGGACUCCACACUUAACAACUUAGCGUAAUUCCAGUUACCUAUUUAAAAGUCUGCUUCUAAAACAUGAGUUUGAGGAUUAAAUUUCCAACAUAGGACCUUUGGGAGACACUUGUUUAAGAUUCAUUUAUCUAUUUGAGAGAGGUCUUCCAUAUACUGGUUCACUCCCCCAAAUGGCUGCAACCACCAGAGCUGCACCAAUCUGAAGCCAGGAGCUCUUUCUGGGUCUCAGGUGGGUGUAGUGUCCUAAGGAAUUGAGCUAGCUUCUGCUUUCCCAGGCCAUAGCAGAGAGCUGGAUCAGAAGUGCAGCAGCCAGGUCUGGAACUGGUGCCCAUAUGGGAUGCCAGCAUUGCAGGCAGCAGCUUUAUCCACUGCUACAGUGCCAGCUUCAGGGGACACAUUUAAUCUAUACUGUGUGCUGUGCUCUGUCAACACCUCCCUGCCAGCCAGAAUCCACUUGUUUGUCUCUGUAAAGUGCUGUACAUCCUCUGCAGAAGCUGUAUCGGUCCCAACGCAGUUGUGAGAAGCCACUGCUGCAGCCUCAACUGGUGGGUGUCCGGGUGCAGGAGUGUGUCUUGUAUUCAUCAGCACUGUUCUGUUCUUACCAGUGUGUGCGGAUACUUUUAAUCUGCUCAGCUAGACUGAUAACUCUGUGAAGCCAGAUAAUGUUCUCUGUUACACUCCAGUAGCUAGCACAAAGGCUAGCAGAUAGUUGGCAUUUAAUUUGAAAAAAGCAAAUGUGGUAUGAGGAAGUAAUUUAUUAAUGCAGAAGUAUUUAUGUUAGCAUAGCAUAGCAGCAAAAAUGAGUAGUUCUAGAAUAAAAAUUUCUAGCUUCUCAUUUUUUUGUUUUGGGAAAUUGAUUUACAAAUGUUCAUGCUAAAACUCCUUAGCUAAAAUUUUCAACCCAUGAGGUGAUUGUAUUUGUCAUUCUGUUGUACGGUUUCUAUAUUCCAUCAACUUAGGUCCUGAGGACCAUUGGCAGAGUGUGGAAUUGGGGCAGGCAGUUGGCCUAGCAGUUAGGACACCACUCAAGUUGCUCUCACCCACGUCAGAGUGCCGCUUCCUGCUAAUAUGCACUCCGGGAGGCAGCAGGUGAUGGCUCAAGUGACUGCUCCCACAGGGGAGACCCAUAUUGAGUUUCCAGGUCGUUGGCCUGGCCCAGUGCCAGCUGUUGUGUUUAGGUAGGAAACCAGCACAUGGGAGUGCUUGUGCUCACUCUUAUGAAUAAAAAUAAAGGUUUUUGUCCAAUGUAAAAUUGAGAUAUUGUCAUGUAAUAAGUGAAAUUAUACAUAAACUUUCCUAGAAUUGAGAUUGUCCUUGGUGUUUUCUACUUUAAAAGUAAUAGAGAAUUGUGUGAUAUAAUAGUGGUUUUUUUUCUUAUGUCUCUUUAAAAUUACAAAAGUAGUUCAUACUUUGAAAACAGACUAACAAAGAUACAUAAUCUUAUCUACCCAGACACAGAGUGUCUAUCCUUCCAGAUUAUCUUCUGCAUGUAUUUGUAUUUUCAAGCUAACUGGAUUUAUAUUCUAUAUGUUGAUACUUAGUAAAUUAUUUCCUACAUUACUUACCCUAGAAACACUUGAGGGUAACUAAAUACUUUGACUAUUAAAGCCAUAUGUUCUUAGCAAUUACUGUUAAUUUUUUUUAAAGUUGAAAGCUUUUCCUUUUUUUUUUUUUUAGGUUUAUUUUUUGAGAGGCAAAGUUACAGAGAGAGGGAAAGACAGGUCUUCCAUCUGGUGGUUCACUCUCCAAAUGGCUGCAACAGCUCAAGCUGGGCCGUUCCAAAGCCAGGAACUUCAGUGCAGGGGCCCAAAUACUUGGACCAUCUUCCACUGCUUUCCCAAGCCAUUAGCAGGGGGCUGGGUAGGAAGUGGAGCAGCCGGAACUCAAACCAGUGCCCAUGUGGGAUGCAGGCGCCAUAGGCAGAGGCCCCCACUGUACCACAUCCCUAGCUGCUACUGUUAAUUUCUUCGGAGAAACUGGAAGAUGCCAAAUAAGUGCUUUUGAAACAUUCUUAGUACAGGAUUCUGUUCUCGUUGACCUUUGCUAAUUAUUACCUUCUCUUCCCCGCCCCACUACAUGUCAGGAAGAGAGCCUAUAAGGAAAAAAUAGAUUAUUUCUGUAUUUUAAAAAGAAACAUCGUUUAGAUUUGUUUGAAUGGUCUUAAUUGGAAGAUUUCAACUUAUACUAUGGCAUAUUUUCUCCAGCCAUCAAACAUAAUCUUCUGAAUAAGUAGCUCUGACCAUAUGUGUAAGAGUAAAUGCACCAUGGCACAGCAGGUUAAGCUGCCAGGUACUCUGCUGUGUGUCCAGCUUCCUGCAAAAGUACCUGGGAAGGCAGCAGAUGAUGCUGGAGUGCUUGGGUCCCUGUCACCCAUGUGGGAAAUGUAUGGAGUUUCAGGCUUCUGGACUUGGCCUAAUCCAGUUAUGGUGUUUCAGGCAUUUGGGACGUAACCCAGUGAAUGGAAGAUUUCUUUCUCUCUCUCAUUCAAAUAAGUAAAUUUUUAAGAAAUAAAAUGAACAUAACCUUUAGCAAUGCUCUGAAUAUUGAGUCAAUAUGGAACUAAGAGUUGAUUUUUUUAAGAUUCAGUCCUGUCCAAAAAUGCUAAUUUCCAAUUACCUUUCUUAAGACAUUUUUUACAAAGAAUUUAAUGAGGUGUUUCUAACUGAACUGUCCUGCUUAAAUUAAUAUUGUAUAGAUUCUGUGUUCUUUAAUCAUUGUAUUGUGUCUUGGAGUAAAACCAGUGAUUGCUAGAAACAGAAAAAUCAGUGGUAAGUAGUAGAAACUGAGAUAGGUAAAGCAAAUAAUUACAUACUAUCCUGUGCCUAACCGGUUGCCAUAAUCAGCCAUAAGAAUUACUGUGUAUUUCUGUAGGGUAAAGGAGAGGGGUGCACUAACGACUCAUUGAAUGCACAUCUCUAGCAUACUAAUAGGCAGAGUUCCUCAGCUUUCAUCAGCUCUAGGAGCACACAAAGAAGCAUGUAAGUGUAUAUUUUAAAGAGCUAUAAUAAAAUGCCAUCUUCUGCAUUCAUGAAGUUACUGGUGAUUUUAACCUGGUAUAGUUUUGUUUUUUUUUUUUUAAAUAAAACUUACAGUUACUAAGCCAGUUAAUAGGAAAACAGUUCAACGGAAUUAUUAGUACUCUUCUAAUUUAAAAAAUUAACAUCUUUGUCCUUUUUUGAUUUCUCAUAUAUGUACUUUUUAGGGUAAAAAAAAUUGGCUUAUUAAAGUAACUGCAUACAAGUAUAGCAAUUAAACAAAAUGAACCUAAUAUAUUAGGCUUUUAAGAAUGUCUGAUAAUGUUGAUUGAGGGCCAUGCUAUUGCUUGCUUAGUCUAAUAUAAUCAUUUCUGCUUUCUCAGAUUCCAUGUAGUUAGAUUAAUGACAGCAGUGAUUUCAUUUUAUAAAUCUUCAAAAUGGGAAAUAGCAAAAAUUGCUUUAAAAGUUUCUUAUAACUUCCAAAUGAUAAUUAGAAAUUAUACUUUAGAAACAUUGAACUAUAGUUAUUGUCUAUAAAUUUCUAUGAUUAAAUAUUGAUAGGUUUAGAAUUGAAUAAUGAAAAUUAUAGUGGUCAUAAUAAUUGACAUGUGCUUGCAGUAUUCUUUAAGAGUAAUGUUUUAGAAUACUGUUAUACCAUGUUUCUCCAGAUUUGCUUGGACAAAUGAUACACUUUUGUAAUUUGGACUAAGUGAAGCUUAAAAGACUCCUUUUUCUGUCUUUGUUAGAUGAUGAGACAUAAUUUGUUGAAAUUAUAAGUUGAUAUGGGAAUUGUAAAUUUGUGUUUAAAUGAUGUAUACCUUAGUGCUUUUGUUUUAAAUCCAAAUGUUGCAUUGACUAGUGUGGUAUUUGAGAAAGUACGUUAUUAUCUUUGAAAUAAAAUAUUUUAAUUAAAAGAUAUUUAUAAAAUAUAUACAGCUUCCAUGAGCUCCUUGUAGCAGCUGACAUACCCCCCAUUUGUCAUAUCACAUGUGGUAUGAAUUUCAAGUCUGCUGCUUUUAUCUCUUGAUCAAUCUUUUGUUCCAUCUUUUAAGAAUAAAGCAACAACUGACCAUAUAGUAAAAAGGGCGUUCUCUGGUACAUUCCAGUAAUGUUUGUUAGAAGUGAUCCAAGUAAAUUGUAAUACAGAUAGCUUAGAAAUAUGUGAGGGCACUAAAAAAAGUUUGUGGAAAAUGGAAUUAAAUAGAAAUGUUUUUGGUGUGGACAAAUUUUGAAAUCCAUGCAUAGUUUCUUGAAGACCUUUUGUAUGUACACAAUAAUUACCAGCCAAAUAGAAGAUACCAAAAAGAAAAUUUCGUUGGUUCAACAUUCAGCAAUUACAUUGUAACAAGUGCAAGUAUGUAGAACAGAAAAUUAAAGUUGAAUCUGUAGAAUGUUUUUUUUUUCCAGGUUGGGCUAAUACAAAGCUCUUUUCUCCUGUUAGUCAUUCUGAUUAUAUAUUCUCUGAAGUCAUGUUUCAGUUUUCCAAAAAAUUUUAUUGGUGAGUUGGGAAGGUGGUUUUAUACCCCAAUGAAUGUUAACAGGUGUGGUUGAGAUUAUGUCUGAAGUUCUGUAUUUGCUGCAGUGGUUGUUUUGGGAUGCUAAGCACAGGCAAGAUGUUAGCUGGUUAAGGUGGUGAAACUGUCUACUACCAUCAACAGAUUACUCCCUGUAAGUUUGUCAGUGUUAAGCACAGAAGUUAGGUACAGUGUCUGCUCUUAAAAUGUUCUGAACUAAUUUGAUUCUAAAACCAUACAAAUAUAAAAGAGUUUGAAAGUCUUUUAUUCUAUAGUUUUAGAAAAAUCCAGAUCUAAGCAAUUUCAUACUCAAAUGUAAAAAGGUAGUGUUUUCUUUUUAAAACCAGCUUUUUUUUCUUCAUGUACUACAUGUUACUUUUUACCAGAUGACUGGCUGUAAAAGAGGGAAGCUGUAGGUCAUGGUUUGAAUAGGUCAAACUCAGGUAAUCACUAGGUUCAAUAGGGAGUUUUCUGGCUAUCCCUGUUUAUUUCUAAGUUAGCUGUCUGAUAUUCAUACUGAUGUAUAUAGUUCAUUGUCCACACAGUGUGAUGUCUGGAGAGUGGUGGCACCGAGUGGAUUAAGGUACAACUUUCAAGAGAAGGUUGUUGCCUUCUCCACAUGUCAAGACUGGUAGAAUGGGUCAGUUGUUGGGAAGGUUUCCUUACGAGAAAUUCCAAUUGCAACUCCUCUUUUCUCUUGUUUGGGUUAAGAAUUUAAAAUUAUUGCCCAUUCUAAUGUUCUUUGGUGUCAUGCCAUUGUUAGUUGUGCUGAAAUAAUGAGUCUGUUGUUCAGCCUUUAAUAACUUAAAACCUGAGGUAAAUGCUCCAUUGCAAGGACAAAUAUAAUUCCCAAAGUUUUGCUAAAAAUAAAGGUUUUGCUCCUUCAA